AACGAACGCUGGCGGCAUGCUUAACACAUGCGAGUCGAACGAGACCUUCGGGUCUAGUGGCGCACGGGUGCGUAACGCGUGGGAAUCUGCCCUUUGCUACGGAAUACCGCAGAGAAAUUUGUGCUAAUACCGUAUAAUGUCCACGGACCAAAGAUUUAUCGGCAAAGGAUGAGCCCGCGUAAGAUUAGCUUGUUGGUGGGGUAAAGGCCUACCAAGGCGACGAUCUUUAGCUGGUCUGAGAGGAUGAUCAGCCACACUGGGACUGAGACACGGCCCAGACUCCUACGGGAGGCAGCAGUGGGGAAUAUUGGACAAUGGGCGAAAGCCUGAUCCAGCAAUGCCGCGUGAGUGAUGAAGGCCUUAGGGUUGUAAAGCUCUUUCACCAGGGAUGAUAAUGACAGUACCUGGAGAAUAAGCUCCGGCUAACUUCGUGCCAGCCGCCGCCGUAA
Molecule: ribosomal RNA, 449 nt
Filed under: uncultured bacterium
Lineage: Bacteria
Description: partial 16S ribosomal RNA
Rfam family: Bacterial small subunit ribosomal RNA
Source: RNAcentral